GUAGGAUCCGAGCGUUAUCCGAAUUUACUGGGCGUAAAGCGCGUGUAGGCGGCUGGGUAAGUUGGACGUGAAAGCUCCUGGCUCAACUAGGAGAGGUCGUUCAAAACUGCCUGGCUAGAGGGCGACAGAGGGAGGUGGAAUUCCCGGUGUAGUGGUGAAAUGCGUAGAUAUCGGGAGGAACACCAGUGGCGAAGGCGGCCUCCUGGGUCGCACCUGACGCUCAGACGCGAAAGCUAGGGGAGCAAACGGGGAUUAGAUACCCCGGUAGUCCUAGCUGUAAACGAUGUGGACUUGGCGUUGGUGGGUCAAAUCCAUCAGUGCCGGAGCUAACGCGAUAAGUCCACCGCCUGGGGACUACGGUCGCAAGGCUA
This 371-nucleotide ribosomal RNA is filed under the name uncultured organism. RNAcentral's name for it is "partial 16S ribosomal RNA". It matches the Rfam family "Bacterial small subunit ribosomal RNA", at positions 527 to 896 of the family's 1533-position model. The record is from RNAcentral.